This 422-nucleotide ribosomal RNA is filed under the name uncultured bacterium. Its description in RNAcentral is "partial 16S ribosomal RNA". It matches the Rfam family "Bacterial small subunit ribosomal RNA", at positions 360 to 774 of the family's 1533-position model. The record is from RNAcentral.
AAUUUUGGACAAUGGGGGAAACCCUGAUCCAGCCAUCCCGCGUGUGAGAUGAAGGCCUUCGGGUUGUAAAUCACUUCUGUCAGGGAAGAAAUCGUACAGGCUAAUAUCUUGUCCGGAUGACGGUACCUGAAGAAUAAGCACCGGCUAAAUACGUGCCAGCAGCCGCGGUAAUACGUAGGGUGCAAGCGUUACUCGGAAUUACUGGGCGUAAAGGGUGCGCAGGCGGUUUAUCCAGAAAGGUGUGAAAACCCCGGGCUUAACCUGGGAAUGGCACUUUUAACUGAUAGGCUAGAGUAUGUCAGAGGGGGGUAGAAUUCCACGUGUAGCAGUGAAAUGCGUAGAGAUGUGGAGGAAUGCCGAUGGCGAAGGCAGCCCCCUGGGAUAAUACUGACGCUCAUGCACGAAAGCGUGGGGAGCAAACA